Molecule: long non-coding RNA, 532 nt
Organism: Salvelinus namaycush (lake trout)
Lineage: Eukaryota; Metazoa; Chordata; Actinopteri; Salmoniformes; Salmonidae
Exons: 3
Source: RefSeq, a predicted model, not a curated record
CUACCUGGUAAUGCUGUUGGACUCACCUGCUCAGAGCCUGAUGAUGUGAGGCUGGUGGGAGGAGGCAGUCGCUGUGCUGGUGGAGUGGAGCGGUACGACCAGGGAGAGUGGAAGACUGUGGGAGCUGAAAACUGGAACCAGGAGGCUAUAGCUGCUGUAGUGUGUAGACAGCUGGGUUGUGGCUCCACUGUUUCAGUACUACCUGGAAACACCACUGGAGUGUAUGGAGUUUCCUGUUCUGGGUCUGAGUCUGCACUGAGGGAGUGUUCCAGAACGUCUGGUCGCCUUUCUGGAUUCACAGUGAUCUGCUCAGUCCUCUAAAACCCCUCCCCAUCCCAAGUUGGGUUGUCAUCCCAGUGACCGGCAGACCACCCCCGUCCCCCCGGAUCCCAGGGCCCCCGAGAGACCGGGACCCAUCCUUUGAAAAGACCCCACAGUGAAACCCACAGAACAGAAGCAGAUCAGCAGACAAAAGCAUUCCAUCACCCUCACAUCGAUUAGCAUUAUUAUAUAGCUAUAAGAAAAUAUAUUU